Molecule: ribosomal RNA, 650 nt
Filed under: uncultured bacterium
Lineage: Bacteria
Description: bacterial SSU rRNA
Rfam family: Bacterial small subunit ribosomal RNA
Source: RNAcentral
UAGUAACGCGUAGGAAUCUAUCACUGGGUGGGGGACAACCGUGGGAAACUACGGCUAAUACCGCAUGAUACCUGAGGGUCAAAGGCGCGAGUCGCCUGGUGAGGAGCCUGCGUCUGAUUAGCUUGUUGGUGGGGUAAAGGCUUACCAAGGCGACGAUCAGUAGCUGGUCUGAGAGGAUGAUCAGCCACAUUGGGACUGAGACACGGCCCAAACUCCUACGGGAGGCAGCAGUGGGGAAUAUUGGACAAUGGGCGAAAGCCUGAUCCAGCAAUGCCGCGUGUGUGAAGAAGGUCUUAGGAUUGUAAAGCACUUUUGGCAGGGACGAUGAUGACGGUACCUGCAGAAUAAGCCCCGGCUAACUUCGUGCCAGCAGCCGCGGUAAUACGAAGGGGGCUAGCGUUGCUCGGAAUGACUGGGCGUAAAGGGCGCGUAGGCGGCUUGCACAGUCAGAUGUGAAAUUCCUGGGCUCAACCUGGGGACUGCAUUUGAUACGUGUAGGCUUGAGUGGAGAAGAGGGUUGUGGAAUUUCCAGUGUAGAGGUGAAAUUCGUAGAUAUUGGAAAGAACACCGGUGGCGAAGGCGGCAACCUGGUCUUCAACUGACGCUGAGGCGCGAAAGCGUGGGGAGCAAACAGGAUUAGAUACCCUGGU